This is a long non-coding RNA of Seriola aureovittata, 1012 nucleotides long. RefSeq lists it as uncharacterized. The record is from RefSeq and is a predicted model, not a curated record. The transcript is spliced from 3 exons. NCBI's taxonomy places the organism in Eukaryota, Metazoa, Chordata, Actinopteri, Carangiformes, Carangidae.
AAUGAAGACCUACUUUUGGCCAGUUUUCUCGCCCUCGCCUUGGAUCUCAUCUUGUCGGCUUGUAGAUUCCUCUCGUCGUCCUCCGUGAGCCCAGAAGCAGCAACAACACUAUCUUCAUCUCACCAGCAUUCUCCUGCCAGCACCUUCUUGGAUUUUUACCCCUUUAACAGCGACAACUUGGUUUUCUCCAACCGGCGGUGGACACAGAGGACAAGCAGCGGCCAGCAGCUGUUUGACACAUGCCCGGAUCCUCCACCAGCGCUGCACCGGGGAGAAGUUCACAUUUGUAACAGUCGUAUUUGUAGCACUUAUUUCUUGGAAGAGUGUUUGUGUUCACUGUUGGCGCUUAAAGUUGAGCGCAGAUCACCUGAACUAAAGGUGGAGAGGCUGCAGACUUUGUGAGUCUGACUUUUGCCUUGCACCUGUUUGUUUGUUUGCUGCAGGCAGGAGGGGACGCCUUUAGAUUAGUCCAUGCAUCCAGCAGUCUGAUGCAGGCUGAAGGACUACAAGGUAAUUUUUAGAUUUCUAUUUACGAAAUAUGUAUCUAUUCAAACACAAACACAUGAUUCUGAAGCAUUAUUUUUUUUUACUUGUGUGUUAAUAUUGAAGUUGGAUUGUAGGCCAUUUACUGUAUUUAUACAAGGAAAAAUAGGCAAUCUUUUAUUAUACAAUUUAUUCAUUUUUAAAAAAAAAUUAAUUUGCAUGGUUUUAAAUUUGUGAUGUAUUUGGUUGGUAUGAAACUUAUUAUUUAUUAUUAUUAUUAUUAUUAUUAUUAUUAUCAUUAUUAUUAUUAUUGUUAAUAUUGAUAUUAUUAUUGUUUGGCAAUUUUUUGGCUAAAAAUCAUUAAUUAUAUGAUAUUAUACUGAUAAAAUCAACGCUGUGCAUUUUUUGUUGUUAUCGGCCGAAACAUAAUAAUGUAGGCCUCUAAAAAAAAAAAAAAAAAGAAGAAGAAGCCAAACGAGGCUUUAGAAGCAGUGGAUAGUAAAUGUAUUUGUAUUUAUUUAUUUAUUUA